RNAcentral lists this long non-coding RNA (238 nucleotides) under Panax ginseng (ginseng). Its description in RNAcentral is "long non-coding RNA (PGIN_LNC005544)". Lineage: Eukaryota; Viridiplantae; Streptophyta; Magnoliopsida; Apiales; Araliaceae. The record is from RNAcentral.
AAAUCUUGAAAUUCUUUGACUGCAGUUCGAAGACUUUUGAUGCUCUGUAUCAUCAGAUUGUUCUGAGAUUCUUGUGUUUUUUGUAAUAUUAAGACAGCAUCCCAAUGCCUUUUAGCUUCAAGAAAGUGAAUGUCGUCCCUGUCUUUUAUGCUUUGAAGCAUUUCUUUGAUGAUCUCUUUGAGUGUUUUAGACAACUCGGAGCUUUGGGAGCUUGGAAGAUUGUUUGCAGCAUUGAUCA